AAACUUUCAACAAUGGAUCUCUUGGCUCUCGCAUCGAUGAAGAACGCAGCGAAAUGCGAUAAGUAAUAUGAAUUGCAGAAUUCCGUGAAUCAUCAAAUUUUUGAACGCAAAUUGCACUUCCUGGUAUUCCGAGGAGUACACAUGCUUGAGGGUCAGUU
Molecule: ribosomal RNA, 158 nt
Filed under: Gigaspora margarita
Lineage: Eukaryota; Fungi; Glomeromycota; Glomeromycetes; Diversisporales; Gigasporaceae
Description: 5.8S ribosomal RNA
Rfam family: 5.8S ribosomal RNA
About the family: 5.8S ribosomal RNA (5.8S rRNA) is a component of the large subunit of the eukaryotic ribosome.
Source: RNAcentral